Molecule: ribosomal RNA, 389 nt
Filed under: uncultured bacterium
Lineage: Bacteria
Description: bacterial SSU rRNA
Rfam family: Bacterial small subunit ribosomal RNA
Source: RNAcentral
GACGAACGCUGGCGGCGUGCUUAACACAUGCAAGUCGAGCGGUAAGGCCCUUUCGGGGGUACACGAGCGGCGAACGGGUGAGUAACACGUGGGUGACUUGCCCUUAGCUCUGGGAUAAGCCUGGGAAACUGGGUCUAAUACCGGAUAUGACUCCAUGACGCAUGUUGUGGGGUGGAAAGCCUUGUGCGGCUAGGGAUGGGCCCGCGGCCUAUCAGCUUGUUGGUGGGGUGAUGGCCACCAAGGCGACGACGGGUAGCCGGCCUGAGAGGGCGACCGGCCACACUGGGACUGAGACACGGCCCAGACUCCUACGGGAGGCAGCAGUGGGGAAUCUUGCGCAAUGGGCGAAAGCCUGACGCAGCGACGCCGCGUGGGGAUGACGGCCUCGG